AAGUCGUAACAAGGUUUCCGUAGGUGAACCUGCGGAAGGAUCAUUACCGAGUACCGGGUCUCUCAGGCCCUUACUCCCACCCUUUGUGUACCAACAUAACUUCAGUUGCCUUGGCGGGUCCGACCCCCGGGACCUCACCGGUCCUCGGGCGGCCGCCCGCCAGGGGAACCCCCCAAAACUCUCAUGAAUUGGGUUGUCUGAGUACAAAACAAAUAAAUUAAAACUUUCAACAACGGAUCUCUUGGUUCUG
Molecule: unclassified non-coding RNA, 250 nt
Filed under: fungal sp.
Lineage: Eukaryota; Fungi
Description: partial internal transcribed spacer region
Rfam family: Eukaryotic small subunit ribosomal RNA (bases 1-46)
Source: RNAcentral